This 475-nucleotide ribosomal RNA is filed under the name uncultured bacterium. RNAcentral's name for it is "partial 16S ribosomal RNA". It matches the Rfam family "Bacterial small subunit ribosomal RNA", at positions 355 to 824 of the family's 1533-position model. The record is from RNAcentral.
UAGGGAAUCUUCCACAAUGGACGCAAGUCUGAUGGAGCAACGCCGCGUGAGUGAAGAAGGUUUUCGGACCGUAAAGCUCUGUUGUUGGUGAAGAAGGAUAGAGGUAGUAACUGGCCUUUAUUUGACGGUAAUCAACCAGAAAGUCACGGCUAACUACGUGCCAGCAGCCGCGGUAAAUCGUAGGUGGCAAGCGUUGUCCGGAUUUAUUGGGCGUAAAGCGAGCGCAGGCGGAAGAAUAAGUCUGAUGUGAAAGCCCUCGGCUUAACCGAGGAAUUGCAUCGGAAACUGUUUUCUUGAGUGCAGAAGAGGAGAGUAGAACUCCAUGUGUAGCGGUGGAAUGCGUAGAUAUAUGGAAGAAUACCAGUGGCGAAGGCGGCUCUCUGGUCUGCAACUGACGCUGAGGCUCGAAAGCAUGGUAGCGAACAGGAUUAGAUACCCUGGUAGUCCAUGCCGUAAACGAUGAGUGCUAAGUGUU